CGUAGGUGCAGCGCCCCGCCCGCCCCCGCGCAGGUGCCGGCGGUUGGACGGAGCCGCGCCCGGCGGGGGCAGGAUGUCCACUCGGCCGCAGUUGAGUCGUUGUGUUUUCAAACUCGGAGAUGCGGACAAGAGGCUGAGAAUUUUGCAAGAACAGAGGGACGCACGGGGCUGUCAGAAAGGUGCUGUUUUGCUGCCGAUAAACACGCCUGCCCUCUCCAAGUGCUAACUUGAGAGCAUCUUGACAAUGGCUAUUGAUACCAUCGCUUCGCUGGGAUCACUGCUUUGAUCUGAAGCAUUAGUGGAGUGAGAAGUACCUUCUAACAGAAGCAGUUUCUUUCUUGCCUUACAUAUAUGAUGAGAUGCUGACCUAAAUGUAGAAUCUUCACUGAAGGAUGUGAUGAGCAGAUUAAAGACGUCUUUCCCUCUGGACUUGCAAGAGCAAAAGCUGGAGGACAUGGUUUGUACUAAAUACAAUUGCAGAGUAAUAUAAGUGCUCACAUGGCCUCAAGGUCACUCUAAAUGAAUCACACAAGAUGCCACACCAUAACUGCCCUUAUGAAGGUCUUUCAGUGAAGAAUGCUGUGAGAAAGUCAGUUGUGUCCAUUGUCAUCUUUAAGAAGGGUAUCUUUGGGAUAAGACGGUCAUCUAAACAUCCUGUGUAAUGUGCAACUCAGGGGUGCACAUUUAAAGAGGAAUUAAUUCUAAAUUUCAUAAAUGUGGUAUGUAAAACUUAUUUAAAGCCUCUACUAUAAAUUAGGGACAGUUUUCCGGAAGAUUCCUAAACCAAGCCUUAUUGUCAAGCUGAGGAUGUUACAAAAUGCGGGGAAGAACAGAGCAAAGUGUGUGCUUUGCAGAAGCAGAUAGUUGAAAUAAGCUUAAAUUAUUACCAGUUGUUGGCAGUGUAACCUGCAUGUAUACAGGAUCCUCUUGUCUUCAAAAGAAAAAAUAAAAACAAGAAACGGUGCACAAUUAGAUCUUUUCAAGUACAAUUAUAUUCGAAGAAAAAGAAAAAAGCCACAUAUGCUUUUUUUUUCCCUUUAAGCAUUCUAAACAGAAAAAGAAAACAGCUUUAGGAAUUUGCCACAUCGAGAAGGAAUAGAGCUUUGAAUAGGAAUUGAUUAGUAAAGGACACAGAAAAGAAAAAGCAACUCUCUAAUGAAAGUAAAUCUAGAAAACAAGAGUGCAUAUGCGUCCUUUUGGCCUGACAGUCCUAGAAGACAAAUUUCCCAUAGUGCCAAGGCUCCAACAAGGCUUAAAGGAGAAGGAAACUUGGGAAGUUUCAAGGCCAAUGUCAGAGUGGCAAUGGGAUACUGAGGAAUGCGCAUAUGCACUGAGGUGAAAUGCUUUCUGGAAAGCAGGAAGAAAAAGAGCAAAACAUGAAAUCCAGGGAUAUUGGGAGGCACCAGUGUAAGAAAUAAUUAAGUGUGGACAACUGCUGUCACUACCCCUGUUAAGGCAUGACUCUGCCUUUUGAGUAAGGCCAGCACUAUCAAGGUUUAGAGUGACUUUUUGCAUAAGAUGGAAACAGGAAAAACUUCUAUUUAGUCACUAAGGAAUAUACGGCUGACCUUCUAAGGGCUGUUUAUCCCCAGUUAUUGGCUGAAAUCCAACUCUAAUAAAUUACAUUUUGCCUAUGAUCUUUAUAUUCACCUUAUUGUUUCAAAUGGAUGUUUCUCCACUCUGCCUUGACCAGGGCAGCAGUGGCAAACAAGAAAACACCUGCCGUGUCUCACUCCAGAAUACUACGUAACACAAUGCCUGUACGAGACGUAGAUUUAUGCAAAAUGUAAAGGCUCUACUAGAAGCACUAAAUUCUGAAAUCAGUAACUGAACGUGCUGGCUGACGUCUGUGUUUUCUUGUGAUCUGCUCUUAAAAACCCUUUUGCACUUAAUCAAUGUGAGUCGUCCUAAUUGUAAAAAAAACAAAAAAUGAAACCUACAGAAGAUCUCAGCAAGAUAUUUGGUUACCUCUUGCACAAAUUAUUUCUCGGUCUGUCUAAAAUACAGCUCUGGAGGGAAACAUGAAACUUUUAGCAGUUUUUAGUGGGCCAGUUUCCCCUAAGUCAUAAGUAGUGGCACCCAGGACUUGUUAUGAAACAGAAGCCUUUGGCCUCAAAUUAACACAGUGCAACAUUUGGAACAUCAACUGCUCUACACAAAGAAACUUCUGUUUGGGAACACACUAAGUUUUUGCAAGCCAAGGAGUUUCCUUGUUGCACAAAACCUGUAACAGUGUCAUGAAUAAACAACAAUUUUAAACAUGCUAGAGAUAGGAUAGGAAUCUGCCAUGCCUCUCAGUACAUGACCUAGGCAUUAGAAUAAAUACAAGAGAUAACACAGUCAAUAGCUUCUGGUCUUGACUAAACACGUUAAAAGUGGUUUAAUACUGAAUACAAACUAGAUUCUCCCUGUCUUAUUCUUCUGUAUAGGAAAACUUAUCCCCACCUUGAACUUCCAUUCAUUCUUUCCAUCGUGAGAAAGGGAAGACGAACCUGCUCUUAAGCCAUAAUCCUUUCCUGUUUAUUCCUUUGUGUAAUGGAGAAGUCAACCAACUAAAUGAGGACAGAGGGUCUGAGGUCCUUUAUAUUUUUGUUUUCUAGGGCCUGCUAAAAGUCUGCUACGGUCUCUGCUGCCUGUAGAAAUGCUUUGUAAUCUUGGUGAUGCUCAGUUUUUACUUCAUGGUGUAACAGAUGUGUCAUUUAGAAUAGAUUCCACCUCAGAAAAUCAGGAUGCCAUAUCAAUUUUCAGGAGACAGAAAGCAGGGUAAAGCUGGAAUUUGUUACAGGGAAUUCCAUGACUUUAGUUCAGACAUUGGGAACGUCUCGUCUCACUGUUUUUUCGGUACUUUUCGUGCUGGAUUACCUAUUAAUUUCAGCCAUUGAUUUUCACAGAAAACGUGUUUGAAAAUUUCUUUCCUCACGUUUCAGUUCACACAUUUCAGUUAAAAAUGUAUUUUGGAUCCACAAAAAUUAAGAUUACAUCUUGACCUGGAUGUCAGACACAUUAUGUAAGAAAAGACCUGUUUUUAAACCUCCUUUUCCUGCCAAAGUGCGUAAUAACAGUUCUCCACUUCUUUCUAAUGACUAACAACUCUUCUAACAGCCCUUCACUGCCUAGUCACAUUCAUCACAGUUAUCAAUUUUCUUCCUGUAUCGUUUACUUGUUAAACAGGGAACCAUUUAGUCAAUCCACCAUAGGAUCCCAAAGUGCCUGCAAUUUAAGUAUGAAAGGCAGACAAGAAACAGAGCAAUUAGCAAGCUAGAUUGCAGUCCUUGUUCAAAAAAAGUCUGUGCACUGCUUUCGGGUUUUUUUUCUGUCACUACUUUGUAUAUCUUGCAUUAACUACUAAAAACAGUCAAAUUUGUAACCUUGGGUAGUCUUUAAAAUAUUGAUACUUGAAAUCUAAUUUGGAGAUUCUUCCUGACUGUGCUUUUUCUGACUUCAAAUAAGUCACCAUCCUUUCAUGGCUCUUUU
Cuculus canorus (common cuckoo) is the source of this 3474-nucleotide long non-coding RNA. RefSeq lists it as uncharacterized. The record is from RefSeq and is a predicted model, not a curated record. NCBI's taxonomy places the organism in Eukaryota, Metazoa, Chordata, Aves, Cuculiformes, Cuculidae. The transcript is spliced from 3 exons.